CCAAUAGCGUAUAUUAAAGUUGUUGCAGUUAAAAAGCUCGUAGUUGAAUUUCGGGGUCAGUAGAUUGGUCAUGCCACUGGUAUGUACUGGUCUCACUGAUUCCUCCUUCCUGAUGAGCCGUAAUGCCAUUAAUUUGGUGUUGCGAGGAAUCUGGACUGUUACUUUGAAAAAAUUAGAGUGUUUAAAGCAGGCUAACGCUUGAAUACAUUAGCAUGGAAUAAUGAAAUAGGACGUUCGAUCUUAUUUUGUUGGUUUCUAAGAUUGACGUAAUGAUUAAUAGGGAUAGUUGGGGGCAUUAGUAUUCAAUUGUCAGAGGUGAAAUUCUUGGAUUUAUUGAAGACUAACUACUGCGAAAGCAUUUGCCAAGGAUGUUUUCAUUAAUCAAGAACGAAAGUUAGGGGAUCGAAGACGAUCAGAUACCGUCGUAGCCUUAACCAUAAACUAUGCCGACUAGGGAUCGGAUGAUGUUAAUUUUUUAAUGACUCAUUCGGCGCCUUACG
This 500-nucleotide ribosomal RNA is filed under the name uncultured Glomeromycotina. Its description in RNAcentral is "partial small subunit ribosomal RNA". It matches the Rfam family "Eukaryotic small subunit ribosomal RNA", at positions 591 to 1092 of the family's 1831-position model. The record is from RNAcentral. Lineage: Eukaryota; Fungi; Glomeromycota.